CUAACACAUGCAAGUCGAACGAAGCACCUUACCUGAUUCUUCGGAUGAAGGUCUGGUGACUGAGUGGCGGACGGGUGAGUAACGCGUGGGUAACCUGCCCUGUACAGGGGGAUAACAGUUGGAAACGGCUGCUAAUACCGCAUAAGCGCACGAGAGGACAUCCUCUUGUGUGAAAAACUCCGGUGGUACAGGAUGGGCCCGCGUCUGAUUAGCUGGUUGGCAGGGUAACGGCCUACCAAGGCGACGAUCAGUAGCCGGUCUGAGAGGAUGAACGGCCACAUUGGAACUGAGACACGGUCCAAACUCCUACGGGAGGCAGCAGUGGGGAAUAUUGCACAAUGGGGGAAACCCUGAUGCAGCAACGCCGCGUGAGUGAAGAAGUAUUUCGGUAUGUAAAGCUCUAUCAGCAGGGAAGAUAAUGACGGUACCUGACUAAGAAGCUCCGGCUAAAUACGUGCCAGCAGCCGCGGUAAUACGUAUGGAGCAAGCGUUAUCCGGAUUUACUGGGUGUAAAGGGUGCGUAGGUGGCAGUGCAAGUCAGAUGUGAAAGGCCGGGGCUCAACCCCGGAGCUGCAUUUGAAACUGCAUAGCUGGAGUACAGGAGAGGCAGGCGGAAUUCCUAGUGUAGCGGUGAAAUGCGUAGAUAUUAGGAGGAACACCAGAGGCGAAGGCGGCCUGCUGGACUGUUACUGACACUGAGGCA
Molecule: ribosomal RNA, 703 nt
Filed under: uncultured Lachnospiraceae bacterium
Lineage: Bacteria; Bacillati; Bacillota; Clostridia; Lachnospirales; Lachnospiraceae
Description: bacterial SSU rRNA
Rfam family: Bacterial small subunit ribosomal RNA
Source: RNAcentral